RNAcentral lists this ribosomal RNA (256 nucleotides) under uncultured bacterium. RNAcentral's name for it is "partial 16S ribosomal RNA". It matches the Rfam family "Bacterial small subunit ribosomal RNA", at positions 524 to 777 of the family's 1533-position model. The record is from RNAcentral.
UACGUAGGGUGCAAGCGUUGUCCGGAAUUAUUGGGCGUAAAGAGCUCGUAGGCGGUCUGUCGCGUCUGCUGUGAAAACUCGGGGCUUAACCCCGGGCCUGCAGUGGGUACGGGCAGACUAGAGUGCGGUAGGGGAGACUGGAAUUCCUGGUGUAGCGGCGAAAUGCGCAGAUAUCAGGAGGAACACCGGUGGCGAAGGCGGGUCUCUGGGCCGUAACUGACGCUGGAGGAGCGAAAGCCGUGGGGAGCGAACAGGA